AUGAGGUGAGAUUUUGAACGAUUUCUUUUUCGUAUCUGAAGAUGGAAAGAGCUCAAGCAGAGUGGAGACGACGAACAGAUGGUACCACUGAACCAGAUUCUAUGGAAAAGUUCGUAUCCCAACGAAAAAAUCUGGAGAAUGACGAUCAAUCAACAGAUUUUGACGUUUUUCGUUUCUCUCUCAAUCUGAUCCACUUUCAUCUUCAUUUUUCUCAAGUCUCCAAUUGAUUGAAAGUGGGAAUUGGUUAUUUGGGUCCUUCUCUCUGGCAUACACGAUGAUUCAAGCAUGCAUAUACCUCUUUGGGUUCUCCAUUAGCACGCUGCGGUUUGUGCCCUAAUUUGUUCGAUUGAGCUUCUGGGCUUCGAUUUGCAGGUCACGGCUUCAAUAAUACAAUCUCUCAGCAAAGCCUCAUAUUCGCUUAGCUUUGGGAUUUACAAUGCAAGUCUUGUGUUGGAAUGCGGCAUAGGUUCUCGAAAGCGAAUUCCAUGAAGCGGUUCCAGAUCAAGUAUGAGGAUGUGAUCAAGAGAAAGUCCCGGCAAAUCUCUUAACUUGUGUUGGAAAUAUGAUCAGUCUUCAUGACCCAAGUCCUUCAAAGUGUAUUGUUGUCAAUAAUUGAGAAAAAAAUAGUGAACCAGAGUCCCUGCUUUGUGUGGGGCGUAACACUGUUGUGGUUUUCAUACUUGAUAUGAUGUUUGGUUUACUUGUCUGA
RNA transcript from Fragaria vesca subsp. vesca, 709 nucleotides. RefSeq lists it as uncharacterized. NCBI's taxonomy places the organism in Eukaryota, Viridiplantae, Streptophyta, Magnoliopsida, Rosales, Rosaceae. The record is from RefSeq and is a predicted model, not a curated record. The transcript is spliced from 2 exons.